GAUGAAGAACGCAGCGAAAUGCGAUACGUAGUGUGAAUUGCAGAAUUCAGUGAAUCAUCGAAUCUUUGAACGCACAUUGCACCUCUCGGUAUUCCGGGAGGUAUGCCUGUUCGAGCGUCAUUUGUACCCUCAAGCUCUGCUUGGUGUUGGGUGUUUGUUUCGCCUCUGUGUGUGAACUCGCCUCAAAACAAUUGGCAGCCGGCGUACUUGUUUCGGAGCGCAGCACAUUUUGCGAUCCAGAUCAACGUACAGCGGCAUCCAAGAAGCCUUAUUUAACGCUCUUGACCUCGGAUCAGGUAGGGAUACCCGCUGAACUUAAGCAUAUCAAUAAGCGGAGGA
Molecule: unclassified non-coding RNA, 339 nt
Filed under: soil metagenome
Description: partial contains 5.8S ribosomal RNA, internal transcribed spacer 2, and large subunit ribosomal RNA
Rfam family: 5.8S ribosomal RNA (bases 1-120)
Source: RNAcentral